AUUCCUACGGGAGGCAGCAGUGGGGAAUAUUGCACAAUGGGGGAAACCCUGAUGCAGCAACGCCGCGUGAGUGAGGAAGUAUUUCGGUAUGUAAAGCUCUAUCAGCAGGGAAUAGAAAAGAAGGUACCUGAAAAAGAAGCCCCGGCUAACUACGUGCCAGCAGCCGCGGUAAUACGUAGGGAGCGAGCGUUGUCCGGAUUUACUGGGUGUAAAGGGUGCGCAGGCGGCUCUGCAAGUCAGGCGUGAAAGCUAGGGGCUCAACCCCUAAACUGCGCUUGAAACUGUGGAGCUUGAGUGAAGUAGAG
This 305-nucleotide ribosomal RNA is filed under the name uncultured bacterium. RNAcentral describes it as "bacterial SSU rRNA". It matches the Rfam family "Bacterial small subunit ribosomal RNA", at positions 335 to 656 of the family's 1533-position model. The record is from RNAcentral.